Molecule: long non-coding RNA, 683 nt
Organism: Temnothorax curvispinosus
Lineage: Eukaryota; Metazoa; Arthropoda; Insecta; Hymenoptera; Formicidae
Exons: 5
Source: RefSeq, a predicted model, not a curated record
UCAGAAAUAACGUUGGUAGUAUAUUAAUUUUCUGUUGUUAUAAUGUUAUCGUUUUAUAUUGUGCGCAACGCUCAUCGCGACAGCCAUGAUGUACAUGAUUAUCCUACAUACGAUGCGUGAGUGCGUAUACACGUGUGUCAAUCGAGGAGUGCGGAGUGCUCUUUAUUUACAGCAUAAUUAUAUAUAAGUAUAGCUGGUGAUGUAGGAUUCAUUUUCCGAUUUACAAGAGAGAUUUACAAAAGAGAGGAAAUAUCAAUUAAUUUUUUUACGUUCUAUAAUAGAUUUGUCCUUGGACAUUAAAAAUAUCAUCAAGGGCAAUGAAUAUGUCUUAACAUAUGGGAUCAAUUGUUGUAUCAAAUUCAAAAAACCACCAUUUGAAAAAUUUGACCCUGGCUAAGAUAAACAUCAGUGAACAAUAUAUUAUAAGGAAAACUCUGUACAAGAUACUAGAAAUGCUAAAAGAUGACCAAGAAGCUUUUACACAAGUCAGGCUAUUAGACAACAAUCCCUUGUAAUACAGAGAAAGACUUGGAACACUCUAUAAUGGAAUAGCUUAGAUUUGCAAACAUCCGUAAACAAAGGAAAAAAUCUUAAAAGCAACUGUUUGGUAAAGACCCGGAAAGAUUAAUAAUCUGUUUAAAAGGAAAGAAUAAGAGUUUGGAAAAAAAUAGUAAAAGAGUUAU